GAUUGGCUUGCGUCCGAUUAGCUAGUUGGUAGAGUAAUAGCCUACCAAGGCUUCGAUCGGUAGCUGGUCUGAGAGGAUGAUCAGCCACACUGGAACUGAGACACGGUCCAGACUCCUACGGGAGGCAGCAGUGAGGAAUAUUGGGCAAUGCCCGAAAGGGUGACCCAGCAACGCCGCGUGGAGGAUGAAAGCCGUAAGGUUGUAAACUCCUGUUAGAGGGGACGAACAAUCCCGAUUGCCUCGGGACUUGACGGUACCCUCAGAGAAAGCCCCGGCUAACUACGUGCCAGCAGC
RNAcentral lists this ribosomal RNA (294 nucleotides) under uncultured bacterium. Its description in RNAcentral is "partial 16S rRNA". It matches the Rfam family "Bacterial small subunit ribosomal RNA", at positions 224 to 515 of the family's 1533-position model. The record is from RNAcentral.